UAUCUGCUUUUUUACUCUCCACAGUUUCAGUUACUUGCAGUCAGUUGUGGUCCAAAAAUAUUAAAUGGAAAAUUCCAGAAAUAGACAAUUCAUAAGUU
This is a non-coding RNA of Ceratotherium simum simum (southern white rhinoceros), 98 nucleotides long. The record is from RefSeq and is a predicted model, not a curated record. Lineage: Eukaryota; Metazoa; Chordata; Mammalia; Perissodactyla; Rhinocerotidae.